RNAcentral lists this small RNA (847 nucleotides) under Pongo abelii (Sumatran orangutan). Its description in RNAcentral is "processed transcript". The record is from RNAcentral. Lineage: Eukaryota; Metazoa; Chordata; Mammalia; Primates; Hominidae.
GUGUCACACGCACUGGCUGUGCUAGCUUCCACGUGGGCUCCAACUGCCAGACACCCCAGAGUUUCACACAAGCUAUCGCUGACUGCCGGUGCGUGUUUGAAGUGGGCCACAGGGGCUGGGCAUGAUAUGAGCUGCCUGGACAUUGGAGGAGGCUUCCCCGGAAUGGAGGGCUCCGGAUCCAAGUUUGAGGAGUUGGCAAGAGUGAUCAGUGCUGCCCUGGCCCAGGACUUCCCUGAGGAGUGUGGUGUCAAGGUCAUCGCAGAGCCUGGCCGCUUCUAUGUGGAGUCUGUCUGCACGGCCGCUGUCAACAUCAUUGCCAAGAAGGCUGUGCUGGAGCCCGGAGGCAGCCGGAAGCUGAUGUAUUAUCUCAAUGACGGCCACUAUGGCUCCUUCCGCCUCUGCCACCGACAGCCUGUCCCAAGGGUUCCCAUCGUGGUGAAGGUAAGGGGGCCACUCCAGCCCCAAGAGUCUAGUCCCUUACCUUGAGGUGCCUUGUGCCUCCCCCACUGGGAACAGUGGCUGUGCUGGACCCCAGAGGCAGGUCCUGGCCUGCUGCAUAGAGCACACGUGGACACGUACAGGACGUGUGCUCGACAGGUCAGAGCACGUGCAGCAGCUGGAUAUGUGGGCCUUGUCAGGCAAAGGGAUGAUCACCAGAACACAAAGGCAUGGGCUGUUUUCCCAAAUAUUGAAGUUCUUCUCCCUGGUGGCUUAAGAGCCAUUCCUUCUCCCUGGUGGUUAAAGAGCUGUUCCCCCAAGUCCACCAGGGGCCUCCCUGCCGACACCCUUGCUGCUCAGUCCCUCCCAUGAUCUAGCAACAAAGCUUCAAUACCUGACCCUGUAGGGC